AUAAGGUAAAUCAUUCACACCUUUACUUUAUCUUCGUAAUACAUCGUUGAUAACCAUAGUAUGCUUAAGGGCCAGUUGCUAGUAAAGAAGAAUCUUCAUUGGCACGUUUUCCAUAUCCAGACCAAGACUCAUCAUAAACGCGUACAUCCUUAAAACCGCACUCCUUAAGAGCAGCAAACAAUACAGAAGCAGUUACACCAGAGCCACAUGAAGUGAUUAUGGGAACAGACUUGUCUGUUAAACCAUGGCUAGAAAACACCUUUUCCAAAUCUUCCUCAGGCUUCGGAGCUGUAAUACCAGCAGCAGUGGUUUCGGUAAAUGGAAUGUUGAUGGACGUAGGAAUAUGCCCACUAGCUAAACCAGGACGAGAUUCGGGAACGUUGCCAAGAAACCUUUCAUGAGCGCGAGCAUCAACGAUGUGAACGCCUGCGGCAUCUGGACUUUCAAUCACCUUUACAAUGUCAUCAAAGGAAGCAACCAGAUCUUUGUUCAACUUAGCACCUUCGUAAACAACGGGCUUUGGAGUUCUAGGUUCUCCAGUUUCCAAUUCAAGACCCUCAGUUUUCCAUGCGUUAAACGCAUUAGGAAAUAAGAAAACAUGCUCAUGACCAAAGACUUUAAAGGUCCAGAAAACCCUAGGAGACGAAAAAAACCCUUUUCGGUCAUAAAUGAUAACAUUGGUCUAAAAUAUUAGUAAAAUUGAAGACUAAGUAAUUGGAAUUUCUAAACUACUACUUACGUUUCUGUCAAUUCCUAAUUUUCCAACGUAAGAGGCGAAUUCGUCAGCUGGAGGAAGCAUAUGAGGAAGGGGAUUUUUGUGAUCUUUAGCCUCAUCUAUAUCAAAGUAUUGAGCACCUGGAAGACGACUUUCUAAAUACUCCUUCUUUCCGUUUUUAGUGUCUGUUGGCAAGUACCAAGUAGCAUCCAAGAGAACGGUUUUUUGAGCAUUAUCCUUUAAUUUUUGCAAUACGCCCUUAAUAGGCAAAAUAAAAGAGAUUUUUUUACCAACAGAGAACAUUGUUUGAAGCAGAGUCUUAUUUUGUUUCAGCGAACUACAUAGACUUCGAAUUUCAAGUAAUCUUACGAAAGUACAGCGUUGGUUGCAGCUC
Non-coding RNA from Schizosaccharomyces pombe (fission yeast), 1109 nucleotides. The record is from the annotation of a GenBank genome assembly. Lineage: Eukaryota; Fungi; Ascomycota; Schizosaccharomycetes; Schizosaccharomycetales; Schizosaccharomycetaceae.